CAGAAAUGUAGGGAAAGGCUGCGUACUAUAGACCCAAAGUGGUCGGACCCUUUCCUGGACCCUGCGCAAGCGGGAGCUACAUGCACCAGGUUGCCCUUUAUGGUCAUCUGAGUGUGGCACUUGUUGUCUUCAUCCUGUAUAUCCAUGGAUUUUCAGUUGGCAAAGGUUGAUUGAUGUUUGAUAUGAACAGAAUAAACUCUACAGGUCAAAGGGAAAAUGGAAUGGGCUUCCAUAUGAUGGAUGUACAUGGGGGAAAUAAGUCUCAUAUCUUGGUGUUCCAAUCUCAGAUUGAAUUCUUCAACAAGAUUUAGUCCAGGAGCAAGUCUACUGAGAAGAGCAAGGGUGUCGAUCAUGAAUUUUUGUUUUAGUUGACUGUAGGUUUCAUGUGGUAUGUCUCCAGGUUCGUUCUUUGAAUUUGCUUUUUUGUUAACUUCUGACGCUAUAUAUUUUAUAUCAGUAAAAGUGUCAUCCUUGGUGACAAGAUGCGACUAUAUUAGAGCUAUUAUUAGUAUACGCUAGAUUGGAUCAAAUGUAGAUAUAAAAAUGCAACAAAACUGCAAGUCCACAUCUGAUUCAACACACUUCCACUGUGUAGUGUUUGAGUGGAUCCUGCUGCCUCCUCUCGAACCAUAAUAGAGCAGUAUUAUUGUUUUAUCAUUGAAUUGUUUAUUUAUCUUGAAAGUUGAAAGCGGGUUAAUUCUUCCUUUUUUAGGCGGUUGACAUCCAUUAUGUGGCAUAGGUGAUAGGUGUUCAUUGCGUAUACAACUUAAUCCCACACCACUUUUAGCAAUGGCUCGUAAUGUGGCAUCUCUUCCACUACCAGGGCCCUUUACCAUAACUUCUGCUUGUUGCAAACCUACUGUGCGAAUAGCAUAUACUGCUGUUCUUUGAUCAGCAUAGGGUGAUGCUUGGUAAUUACCCCUCUCUCAGCCUUGCAAAGUUUGGGAGUGUGAAUUUUCAACUUGGACACCUCAUAGAAUGUUGGUUCGAAUAUUCGAAAUUGAUCAUGUAUAUAUCCCUAGCAGAUCUAAGCUGUCACUACUUCUCUUCUUUUGGUUGUCAGGAAAUGUAUUUUUGAUCUCAGCUUCUAAUGAUGAAAAGAAGCAGUCAAGAAUAAAAUUUGAUGUCCUUUGGCACCUUAUGAGAUGAUAAACAUCAACACUGAUGUUCUCAUAACUACAAAAUAGGAAUGCAUGCAUCAAUGGAAUGAAGGGCGUUGGUUGAAAACCAAAGAUUCUACAUUGUUUGGUCUAUUUAAAGUCUCGACUAUGGAAACUUGCUCAGAGGAUGCAACCAAGGCCAAAUAUUCAGACUUCACUUUAUGGCUAAUAUCAAUAUGGAAGACACAACACUAUCCUGGCAUGAUGCUUGGUCUUUCUUGGGUGCUGCAACCCCUCUCAAUGACAGAUUCAAAGGAUUUUUUCUUAUGUGAUUGAUGACAAAAUUUCUGUCCUUGAUUUCCUGCAUGAGCAUGAUUAUACCAACUUUUUUCAGUUACCACUCUCUGUGGAGGCCAUGGAAGAAUGCAGACUCCUUGAGGGAACCCAGAACUUGCCCAUAAAUAAUACUGCAAAUAAUAAUUGGUUAUGGUCACCUGGUAAAGGUAAUUACUCUGCAAAGAGUUUUUACACAACAAUGCAUGCCCACAUGCCAGUUGAUGAGCCAUGUAAAUGGAUAUGGGAAAGCAGGAGUAUCAUGAAGAUUAAGGUCUUUGCAUGGCUGAUGCUUAAUGACAGAUUAAAUACCAGAGAUAUGCUGGUUAGAAGGCACUGGAGGCAACAGAAUGAUGAGAAUAACUGCCCUUUAUGCCCCACUCAAACCCUGGAGGACAUAUAUCACCUAUUUUUAAGUGUACCUUCAGUGCAAAGGUAUGGAAUUAUUUUCAGAUCCAGUGGACUGCUGGUCUAAACCCAAGAGAGUGCAUCCUUCAUGCCAAAAGAAGCUUUGGAUACCCUUUUUUCCAUGAGGUUGCUUUUCUGGCUGCCUGGAACAUUUGGCUUAUUCGGAAUGGAAGGAUCUUCAGUCAUGAGAGGCCUUCUUUUAGGGGAUGGAAGGAAAGGUUCAUACAUGAUGUGACAAGACCAGCUUUGUUAAACUGGAUUAACUCUCUCCCAUAGGAGUUUGUUUAUAGCUUUUCUGUAAUUAUCUAACAUGUAAAUAGGUAAAUCUAGUUUUUUCUCUUAGCUUGGCUUAGUCUUUUUUUUUUGGUUUGUAAGACUCCUCAGUUCUUUAAUAAAGGUGUUGCCUCACAGUAGU
This is a long non-coding RNA of Triticum dicoccoides, 2256 nucleotides long. RefSeq lists it as uncharacterized. Lineage: Eukaryota; Viridiplantae; Streptophyta; Magnoliopsida; Poales; Poaceae. The record is from RefSeq and is a predicted model, not a curated record. The transcript is spliced from 3 exons.